Molecule: ribosomal RNA, 840 nt
Filed under: Protocrea pallida
Lineage: Eukaryota; Fungi; Ascomycota; Sordariomycetes; Hypocreales; Hypocreaceae
Description: eukaryotic LSU rRNA
Rfam family: Eukaryotic large subunit ribosomal RNA
Source: RNAcentral
AAAAGGAUGCUUAGUUACGGCGAGUGAAGCGGCAACAGCUCAAAUUUGAAAUCUGGCCCCUAGGGCCCGAGUUGUAAUUUGCAGAGGAUGCUUUUGGUGAGGCCCGGCCGAGUUCCCUGGAACGGGACGCCACAGAGGGUGAGAGCCCCGUCUGCCUGGACGCCGAACCUAUGUAAAGCUCCUUCGACGAGUCGAGUAGUUUGGGAAUGCUGCUCUAAAUGGGAGGUAUAUGUCUUCUAAAGCUAAAUAUUGGCCAGAGACCGAUAGCGCACAAGUAGAGUGAUCGAAAGAUGAAAAGCACUUUGAAAAGAGGGUUAAAUAGUACGUGAAAUUGUUGAAAGGGAAGCGCUCAUGACCAGACUUGGGCUUGGCGGAUCAUCCGGCGUUCUCGCCGGUGCACUCUGCCUCGUCCAGGCCAGCAUCAGUUCGCCGCGGGGGAUAAAGGCGUCGGGAAUGUGGCUCCCACGGGAGUGUUAUAGCCCUUCGCAUAAUACCCUGAGGUGGACUGAGGUUCGCGCUCCGCAAGGAUGCUGGCGUAAUGGUCAUCAGCGACCCGUCUUGAAACACGGACCAAGGAGUCGUCUUCGUAUGCGAGUGUUCGGGUGUCAAACCCCUACGCGUAAUGAAAGUGAACGCAGGUGAGAGCUUCGGCGCAUCAUCGACCGAUCCUGAUGUUCUCGGAUGGAUUUGAGUAAGAGCAUACGGGGCCGGACCCGAAAGAAGGUGAACUAUGCCUGUAUAGGGUGAAGCCAGAGGAAACUCUGGUGGAGGCUACGCAGCGGUUCUGACGUGCAAAUCGAUCGUCAAAUAUGGGCCAUGGGGGCGAAAGACCUAAUCGAC